GCCCAGUGAACAAUUAAACGGCCGCGGUACCCUAACCGUGCAAAGGUAGCAUAAUCAUUUGUCUAUUAACUGUAGACCUGUAUGAAAGGCAAAAUGAGGGUUUAACUGUCUCUUAUAAUAAAUCUAUUAAACUGAUCCCCCAGUAAAAAAGCUGGGAUACUCCCAUAAGACCAGAAGACCCUGUGAAGCUUUAACUAAACUAUUAAACUAAAUAAUAACUACUUUAGGUUGGGGCGACCUUGGAAAUAAAAAGAACUUCCAACAUAACAAAUAAUCAUUAAGGCCCACAAGCCAAUUAACGACCCAGUAAUACUGAUAAUUGAACUAAGUUACUCCAGGGAUAACAGCGCCAUCUUCUUCAAGAGCCCAUAUCAAAAAGAAGGUUUACGACCUCGAUGUUGGAUCAGGACACCCCAAUGGUGCAACCGCUAUUAAAGGUUCGUUUGUUCGACGAUUAAUGUCCUACGUGAU
RNAcentral lists this ribosomal RNA (471 nucleotides) under Rhabdophis chiwen. RNAcentral describes it as "partial 16S ribosomal RNA". It matches the Rfam family "Bacterial large subunit ribosomal RNA", at positions 1861 to 2604 of the family's 2925-position model. The record is from RNAcentral. Lineage: Eukaryota; Metazoa; Chordata; Lepidosauria; Squamata; Natricidae.